UACAGAGGUCCCAAGCGUUGUUCGGAUUUACUGGGCGUAAAGGGUGCGUAGGCGGUUGGGUAAGUCUGACGUGAAAUCUCCGGGCCUAACCCGGAAACUGCGUUGGAUACUACCUGACUAGAGGAAUGGAGGGGAGACUGGAAUACUUGGUGUAGCAGUGAAAUGCGUAGAUAUCAAGUGGAACACCAGUGGCGAAGGCGGGUCUCUGGGCCGAUACUGACGCUGAGGAGCGAAAGCGUGGGGAGCGAACAGG
This 253-nucleotide ribosomal RNA is filed under the name uncultured bacterium. Its description in RNAcentral is "partial 16S ribosomal RNA". It matches the Rfam family "Bacterial small subunit ribosomal RNA", at positions 524 to 776 of the family's 1533-position model. The record is from RNAcentral.